Molecule: long non-coding RNA, 221 nt
Filed under: Mus spicilegus (steppe mouse)
Lineage: Eukaryota; Metazoa; Chordata; Mammalia; Rodentia; Muridae
Description: lncRNA (ENSMSIG00000025083.1)
Source: RNAcentral
AAGGAUAAUUAAAUAAAUGUCUCUAACAUGAUCAAGGAAGACUUGGGUUGAAGUUGCAUUGUUACUGGAGACUCUGUUAUUAGAGUUUGAAAAAUCAUCAAAAUGAGACCAACCUCAUCUGAAGAUUGCUGUGCCAUCCAUGCCUUUGAAUUUACCAGAUUAAAGGAUUACUUUUUAAUAUUCUUUUAAGAUUGAAAAUAAAAAGCUUCAUUUUUAUUACA